CCCUUAGAUGUUCUGGGCCGCACGCGCGCUACACUGACUGACUCAACGAGUUUACAACCUGUGCCGAAAGGUAUGGGUAAUCUUUUGAAAUUCAGUCGUGAUGGGGCUAGAUUAUUGCAACUAUUAAUCUUCAACGAGGAAUGCCUAGUAAGCGCGAAUCAUCAGUUCGCGUUGAUUACGUCCCUGCCCUUUGUACACACCGCCCGUCGCACCUACCGAUUGAAUGGUCCGGUGAAAUCUCGGGACGGCGGCUUGGUCGCUUGCGUCCGACUGCUGAAACUUGAUUAAACCAUAUCAUUUAGAGGAAGGUGAAGUCGUAACA
RNAcentral lists this ribosomal RNA (322 nucleotides) under uncultured eukaryote. Its description in RNAcentral is "partial 18S ribosomal RNA". It matches the Rfam family "Eukaryotic small subunit ribosomal RNA", at positions 1470 to 1796 of the family's 1831-position model. The record is from RNAcentral.